AGUCGAGGGGCAGCAUUUCAGUUUGCUUGCAAACUGGAGAUGGCGACCGGCGCACGGGUGAGUAACACGUAUCCAACCUGCCGAUAACUCGGGGAUAGCCUUUCGAAAGAAAGAUUAAUACCCGAUGGUAUAAUNANACCGCAUGGUCUUGUUAUUAAAGAAUUUCGGUUAUCGAUGGGGAUGCGUUCCAUUAGGCAGUUGGUGAGGUAACGGCUCACCAAACCUUCGAUGGAUAGGGGUUCUGAGAGGAAGGUCCCCCACAUUGGAACUGAGACACGGUCCAAACNNNNNNGGGAGGCAGCAGUGAGGAAUAUUGGUCAAUGGGCGCAGGCCUGAACCAGCCAAGUAGCGUGAAGGAUGACUGCCCUAUGGGUUGUAAACUUCUUUUAUAUGGGAAUAAAGUUUUCCACGUGUGGAAUUUUGUAUGUACCAUAUGAAUAAGGAUCGGCUAACUCCGUGCCAGCAGCCGCGGUAAUACGGAGGAUCCGAGCGUUAUCCGGAUUUAUUGGGUUUAAAGGGAGCGUAGGUGGACAGUUAAGUCAGUUGUGAAAGUUUGCGGCUCAACCGUAAAAUUGCAGUUGAUACUGGCUGUCUUGAGUACAGUAGAGGUGGGCGGAAUUCGUGGUGUAGCGGUGAAAUGCUUAGAUAUCACGAAGAACUCCGAUUGCGAAGGCAGCUCACUGGACUGCAACUGACACUGAUGCUCGAAAGUGUGGGUAUCAAACAGGAUUAGAUACCCUGGUAGUCCACACAGUAAACGAUGAAUACUCGCUGUUUGCGAUAUACAGUAAGCGGCCAAGCGAAAGCAUUAAGUAUUCCACCUGGGGAGUACGCCGGCAACGGUGAAACUCAAAGGAAUUGACGGGGGCCCGCACAAGCGGAGGAACAUGUGGUUUAAUUCGAUGAUACGCGAGGAACCUUACCCGGGCUUAAAUUGCAUUUGAAUAUAUUGGAAACAGUAUAGCCGUAAGGCAAAUGUGAAGGUGCUGCAUGGUUGUCGUCAGCUCGUGCCGUGAGGUGUCGGCUUAAGUGCCAUAACGAGCGCAACCCUUAUCUUUAGUUACUAACAGGUCAUGCUGAGGACUCUAGAGAGACUGCCGUCGUAAGAUGUGAGGAAGGUGGGGAUGACGUCAAAUCAGCACGGCCCUUACGUCCGGGGCUACACACGUGUUACAAUGGGGGGUACAGAAGGCAGCUACCUGGUGACAGGAUGCUAAUCCCAAAAGCCUCUCUCAGUUCGGAUCGAAGUCUGCAACCCGACUUCGUGAAGCUGGAUUCGCUAGUAAUCGCGCAUCAGCCAUGGCGCGGUGAAUACGUUCCCGGGCCUUGUACACACCGCCCGUCAAGCCAUGAAAGCCGGGGGUACCUGAAGUACGUAACCGCAAGGAG
This 1389-nucleotide ribosomal RNA is filed under the name bacterium NLAE-zl-G280. RNAcentral describes it as "16S ribosomal RNA". It matches the Rfam family "Bacterial small subunit ribosomal RNA". The record is from RNAcentral. RNAcentral also lists the same sequence under 1 other name.